CGGGGCGUAGCGCAGCCCGGUAGCGCACCGCGUUCGGGACGCGGGAGUCGCAGGUUCAAAUCCUGUCGCCCCGACCA
This 77-nucleotide transfer RNA is filed under the name Nitrospira sp. RNAcentral describes it as "tRNA-Pro". It matches the Rfam family "tRNA". Rfam says of the family: Transfer RNA (tRNA) molecules are approximately 80 nucleotides in length. Their secondary structure includes four short double-helical elements and three loops (D, anti-codon, and T loops). RNAcentral also lists the same sequence under 1 other name. The record is from RNAcentral. Lineage: Bacteria; Pseudomonadati; Nitrospirota; Nitrospiria; Nitrospirales; Nitrospiraceae.